AACAAGGUCCACCAAACAACGGAGCUAGACAGCAAAAUGGCGGUGGCCUGGGCUGGCAUAAUAGACUGAGGAGUGCAAAGGGUUAAUUUACUAGUUGCAUGUUAUGGCCAUUUUUUUGCGGAUAAGGGGUUUAAAAUGAAUUUAACUCUAAUAUUAUAAGUUUGAACUAUUCUUAAAAACAAAAUACUUGAUUUGAAAUAAAUCAUCAAAGUUAUUCAGCUAAAUUUUAAAAGUGAACAAUACGUUCCGGGAGAACGGGCCUUUUGAAAAGAUUCUGUUCCCGAUGACUAGUUCACCUAACUGACCCGUUCAGACCCUUGACUAAAGACAAAUUUUAUACCCUACUUAAGUAAUCUGUUGAGGAACAAUUUUUUCCUUUUCCCCAGUAACAAAGAGACUAUAAGUUCGCUGUGGAAUCAUGUGUUCUAUAAAAAGCAUGUGGAAAACUUGGACAAGAUGAAGAAGAUACACCAGCUUAUAUGGCUGCAAUGUAUUAAGGUCAUGAAUAAAACUGAACCUCUGAAGAAUUUGUGAAGCCAACAAUAUAAUGUGCUACUUUGCACAAACAUUCAAAGAAGUAGGGGUCAAAUGGAAGAAUAUCUAUCCAAAACACUUCGAAAAUGCUGUCUAAAAUGUACGAGAAAGAAAGAUGACAAUUGGAGGGGCAGCUAGGCACUUUGAGGUAUUGGUGCAGUCAGGUUCAUCAACAACGGAGUGUUCAUAAAUAUCAAGUUGAUGGACUAUAAGUUCGCCGUGUAAUCGUGUUCUUGAAUAAUCAAGAAAGCUAUUCCAUGUGAUCAGAAAUUACACCUUGGUUUGAUUUCACUGAUGGUGGUGCUAUGACUGGCCUCAGGGGAGUGUAAGUGGGGUAGUAAAAUGAGGAAGUGGAAUUUCCAGAAGGUUUAUGAAAAUGUAUAAUCUCUCUGUAUCAAUCUGAAAAUUGUGCAAAUAAACUUAUAUUUAAUUUAA
Molecule: long non-coding RNA, 969 nt
Organism: Homalodisca vitripennis (glassy-winged sharpshooter)
Lineage: Eukaryota; Metazoa; Arthropoda; Insecta; Hemiptera; Cicadellidae
Exons: 5
Source: RefSeq, a predicted model, not a curated record